This 22-nucleotide non-coding RNA is filed under the name Arabidopsis thaliana (thale cress). Lineage: Eukaryota; Viridiplantae; Streptophyta; Magnoliopsida; Brassicales; Brassicaceae. The record is from RNAcentral.
GCGAAAUGCGAUACUUGGUGUG